RNAcentral lists this transfer RNA (68 nucleotides) under Rattus norvegicus (Norway rat). It matches the Rfam family "tRNA". Rfam says of the family: Transfer RNA (tRNA) molecules are approximately 80 nucleotides in length. Lineage: Eukaryota; Metazoa; Chordata; Mammalia; Rodentia; Muridae. The record is from Rfam by way of RNAcentral.
GGGGAUUUGGCUCAGUGGUAGAGCGCUUGCCUAGGAAGCGCAAGGUCCUGGGUUCAAUCCCCAGCCCA